GGAUGUGAGGGUGAUCUGGCUGCGACAUCUGUCACCCCAUUGAUCGUCAGGGUAGAUUCGGCUGAUCUGGCUGGCUAGGCAGGUGUCCCCUUCCUCCCUCACCGCUCCAUGUGCGUCCCUCCUGAAGCUGCGCUGGGCUCUUGAUCUAAGAGGACGGCCUUCCCCGAAUAGAGAUGGACCGGUCUUCAGUCCAGGGUACACGAGUAUCUGUGCUCCCCUGCUAGAACCUCCAAACAAGCUCUCAAGAAUAAUAUAAAUGGGAUUGAUUUUCCAUAAACAUCUACUUCUAUCCAAUGGCAGUAUGUACUGCUAAGAAAUCUUU
This is an unclassified non-coding RNA of Erinaceus europaeus (western European hedgehog), 322 nucleotides long. Its record names the gene 7SK. It matches the Rfam family "7SK RNA". From Rfam's summary of the family: 7SK was discovered as an abundant small nuclear RNA in the mid-70s but a possible function has only recently been suggested. Lineage: Eukaryota; Metazoa; Chordata; Mammalia; Eulipotyphla; Erinaceidae. The record is from Ensembl.